RNAcentral lists this non-coding RNA (115 nucleotides) under Knoellia sinensis. RNAcentral's name for it is "SAM-IV sequence". It matches the Rfam family "SAM (S-adenosyl methionine) riboswitch aptamer". Rfam says of the family: SAM-IV is a mRNA element that regulates gene expression via direct sensing of S-adenosylmethionine (SAM or AdoMet). The record is from RNAcentral. Lineage: Bacteria; Bacillati; Actinomycetota; Actinomycetes; Micrococcales; Intrasporangiaceae.
GGUCAUGAGUGCCAGCGCGAAGCCCCGGCUUGCUGGCCGGCAACCCUCCAACCGCGGUGGGGUGCCCCGGGUGAAGACCAGGCGCGACGUCAACCGGCGUCCGCAAGCUCGGCAC